This 743-nucleotide ribosomal RNA is filed under the name uncultured bacterium. Its description in RNAcentral is "bacterial SSU rRNA". It matches the Rfam family "Bacterial small subunit ribosomal RNA", at positions 94 to 823 of the family's 1533-position model. The record is from RNAcentral.
AGCGGCGGAUGGGUGAGUAACACGUGGGGAACCUGCCCCUAAGUCUGGGAUACCAUUUGGAAACAGGUGCUAAUACCGGAUAAUAAAGCAGAUCGCAUGAUCAGCUUUUGAAAGGCGGCGUAAGCUGUCGCUAAGGGAUGGCCCCGCGGUGCAUUAGCUAGUUGGUAAGGUAACGGCUUACCAAGGCGACGAUGCAUAGCCGAGUUGAGAGACUGAUCGGCCACAUUGGGACUGAGACACGGCCCAAACUCCUACGGGAGGCAGCAGUAGGGAAUCUUCCACAAUGGACGCAAGUCUGAUGGAGCAACGCCGCGUGAGUGAAGAAGGUUUUCGGAUCGUAAAGCUCUGUUGUUGGUGAAGAAGGAUAGAGGUAGUAACUGGCCUUUAUUUGACGGUAAUCAACCAGAAAGUCACGGCUAACUACGUGCCAGCAGCCGCGGUAAUACGUAGGUGGCAAGCGUUGUCCGGAUUUAUUGGGCGUAAAGCGAGCGCAGGCGGAAAAAUAAGUCUAAUGUGAAAGCCCUCGGCUUAACCGAGGAACUGCAUCGGAAACUGUUUUUCUUGAGUGCAGAAGAGGAGAGUAGAACUCCAUGUGUAGCGGUGGAAUGCGUAGAUAUAUGGAAGAACACCAGUGGCGAAGGCGGCUCUCUGGUCUGCAACUGACGCUGAGGCUCGAAAGCAUGGGUAGCGAACAGGAUUAGAUACCCUGGUAGUCCAUGCCGUAAACGAUGAGUGCUAAGUGU